ACUCCCUGAUACACUUCCUGGUGCUGACUUUCAUCUCAGAGUCUGCUCCCCGGAAGCUCGAAUUGUGACUCUUGGUACCAGGAGUGGGUGGACUCCAGAAAGCAGGCGCUAGGACGGGAUUCUGGAGUUGGACCGCGCUCUGCCGGCUGUGGCCGUGAGGACCCCUUCCCCCUUGGUAGGGGCAGCACCGCCCGCGGCACAAGGAGGAGAGCGAAGACCUGAGGAGAAGACGGUCACUAACAUCCAGCUGAGGUCUGGAAAACAGAGCAAAGGGAUCCCAGCCAUGGUUCCCUGACUGCUCAGCAGGAUGAGCUACGGGAGUUUCCUUCUCCAAAACACCAGAGAACAGACCGGAUGAAGUCGGAAGACUGUCGAGUGGAGACCAGGUCCCAAGAGUCCACUGUACUUUGGCCAGCAGGAUUUGAUGUGACAAUCAGGUUCCAUCAUGUCAACAAGGAAUGUCAAAUAUGUGUUUUAGUUGAGAACACAGGCUCAAGACUACAACACAGCCAUGAAAGCUGGAGUGGAACACAGCAGCCGGCCACUGUACAGAGACAUCUUCAGCAAACCCAGAAGGUUAAAACUUCAACAACAUUGUCUUCUGUUGACUGAAGAGGCAGCUCAAUAACAAUGGUCAUACCAACUUAUAUAUGCCAGCAAGGAGGGGGAGAAAACAUACGCUACAUGAUAUGAAAAUGUGUUAUGUGUUUCAUUUGGAAUGCAUACUGGAUUGUAAAGGUACUGAAAAACACAUGUUCAGUAUGGAAAAUCAUGUUUGACGUGUCCUAAUUUGAUUAUCAAGACAAGAAUUUCAAACUCUUAGUGUCUGUUAAAUUUACAUGUGCAGAUCUAAAAUAUAGUUGUUUUUUUUUGUGGCAUAUUCUCACACAUAACCACUGAAUUCCUAGGGUACUGUCUCUAGCUCCUUUAUGCUGCUUGCUGCCAGAAUAUUUCAUUAUUGAAUGAAUUAUUCAAGAUUUUUAAAAACUCACUGUAAUACAGCUAAGUACGUCUAUGUACAAUUGGAUAUAUUCUGAUAUGUAUUCUUUAGUUGGGUAUCAUAUACCUAUCAAUCAGUACAAUAUUGUUCUUAGGGGACCUCAUUUUUAUACAUUUUUGAGUUGACAGAUUGUAUCUCAGUAUGAGUUCCCAUGUUCCUUCAGCAUCUUCGCGAGGCUUCUCCCCAUUGGAAGGGUUCUCCACAGUACAACCUGGCUGCAGUCUCAGGGUUUAUCCCCGGUAUGAACCCUCUGAUGGACACUGAGUCGGGACUUCCUGCUGAAGGCCUUCCCACAUUCAGAACACUCAUAUGGUUUCUCUCCUGUGUGGAUUCGCAAAUGUAAUCUAAGAGUUGACCU
This is a long non-coding RNA of Eubalaena glacialis (North Atlantic right whale), 1358 nucleotides long. RefSeq lists it as uncharacterized. The transcript is spliced from 4 exons. NCBI's taxonomy places the organism in Eukaryota, Metazoa, Chordata, Mammalia, Artiodactyla, Balaenidae. The record is from RefSeq and is a predicted model, not a curated record.